CCUACGGGAGGCUGCAGUGGGGAAUAUUGGACAAUGGGGGCAACCCUGAUCCAGCCAUGCCGCGUGUGUGAAGAAGGCCCUCGGGUUGUAAAGCACUUUCAGUGAGGAAGAACGCCUGGUGGUUAAUACCCAUCAGGAAAGACAUCACUCACAGAAGAAGCACCGGCUAACUCCGUGCCAGCAGCCGCGGUAAUACGGAGGGUGCGAGCGUUAAUCGGAAUUACUGGGCGUAAAGCGCGCGUAGGUGGCUUGAUAAGCCGGUUGUGAAAGCCCCGGGCUCAACCUGGGAACGGCAUCCGGAACUGUCAAGCUAGAGUGCAGGAGAGGAAGGUAGAAUUCCCGGUGUAGCGGUGAAAUGCGUAGAGAUCGGGAGGAAUACCGGUGGCGAAGGCGGCCUUCUGGACUGACACUGACACUGAGGUGCGAAAGCGUGGGUAGCAAACAGGAUUAGAUACCCUUGUAGUC
Molecule: ribosomal RNA, 465 nt
Filed under: Vreelandella stevensii
Lineage: Bacteria; Pseudomonadati; Pseudomonadota; Gammaproteobacteria; Oceanospirillales; Halomonadaceae
Description: partial 16S ribosomal RNA
Rfam family: Bacterial small subunit ribosomal RNA
Source: RNAcentral